Molecule: small RNA, 713 nt
Filed under: Pan troglodytes (chimpanzee)
Lineage: Eukaryota; Metazoa; Chordata; Mammalia; Primates; Hominidae
Description: processed transcript
Source: RNAcentral
CUCCUUUUCCUACUGUGGCAUUCUGUUAUCUGAAGUCAAACGUACCUGAAUGUGUCCUAUUGUGUUACUCAACUCACUUCUGAAUAUGGUUCUGUUUUGCAUACCACCAACCCACAUAACCAUUUCUGAAUCUCUUGUUUCACACUGCUCCAGUGACAACUUGAUUCACAGGCCAAACUAGUGAGAAUUGCGGCGAGCAGUAAGAAGCAGUGUGUGGAAAAGGGAGACGAUUGUUCAUCAACAUGAGUAUGGACCAGAAGAAAACCUAGAAGAUGACAUGUACCGUAAGACUUGUACUAUGUGUGGCCAUGAACUGACAUAUGAAAAAAUGUGAUUUUUUAGUUCAGUGACCUGUUUUAUAGAAUUUUAUAUUUAAAUAAAGGAAAUUUAGAUUGGUCCUUUUCAAAAUUCAAAAAAAAAAAAAAACGCAACAUCUUCAUAGAUGAAUGAAACCCUUGUAUAAGUAAUACUUCAGUAAUAAUUAUGUAUGUUAUGGCUUAAAAGCAAGUUUCAGUGAAGGUCACCUGGCCUGGUUGUGUGCAGAAUGUCAUGUCUGUGAUUGCUUUCUUACAACAGAGAUGGGAGCUGAGUGCUAGAGUAGGUGCAGAAGUGGUUAGGUCAGCUACAAAUUUGAGGACAAGAUACCAAGGCAAACCCUAGAUUGGGGUAGAGGGAAAAGGGUUCAACAAAGGCCGAACUGGAUUCUUAACCAA